GACGAACCGUGCGAACGUUGUUCGGAAUCACUGGGCUUAAAGGGCGCGUAGGCGGCUUGCAAAGUCAGGGGUGAAAGCCUCCAGCUUAACUGGAGAAGUGCCUUUGAUACUGGCAAGCUCGAGGGAGGUAGGGGCAGAUGGAACUUCCGGUGGAGCGGUGAAAUGCGUUGAUAUCGGAAGGAACGCCGGUGGCGAAAGCGAUCUGCUGGACCUCUUCUGACGCUGAGGCGCGAAAGCUAGGGUAGCGAACGGG
Molecule: ribosomal RNA, 253 nt
Filed under: uncultured bacterium
Lineage: Bacteria
Description: partial 16S ribosomal RNA
Rfam family: Bacterial small subunit ribosomal RNA
Source: RNAcentral